RNAcentral lists this ribosomal RNA (460 nucleotides) under uncultured bacterium. RNAcentral describes it as "partial 16S ribosomal RNA". It matches the Rfam family "Bacterial small subunit ribosomal RNA", at positions 338 to 795 of the family's 1533-position model. The record is from RNAcentral.
CCUACGGGAGGCAGCAGUGAGGAAUAUUGGUCAAUGGUCGAGAGUCUGAACCAGCCAAGUAGCGUGAAGGAUGACUGCACUAUGGGUUGUAAACUUCUUUUAUCAGGGAAUAAAAAGUGGCACGCGUGCCUUUUUGCAUGUACCUUAUGAAUAAGCAUCGGCUAACUCCGUGCCAGCAGCCGCGGUAAUACGGAGGAUCCGAGCGUUAUCCGGAUUUAUUGGGUUUAAAGGGAGCGUAGGUGGGUUGUUAAGUCAGUUGUGAAAGGCUGGGGCUCAACCGUAACAUUGCAUUUGAAACUGGCAGUCUUGAGUUCAGUAGAGGUAGGCGGAAUGCGUGGUGUAGCGGUGAAAUGCUUAGAUAUCGCGAAGAACUCCGAUUGCGAAGGCAGCUUACUGGACUCAGACUGACACUGAGGCUCGAAAGUGUGGGUAUCGAACAGGAUUAGAUACCCUUGUAGUC